RNAcentral lists this ribosomal RNA (571 nucleotides) under uncultured bacterium. Its description in RNAcentral is "bacterial SSU rRNA". It matches the Rfam family "Bacterial small subunit ribosomal RNA", at positions 1 to 569 of the family's 1533-position model. The record is from RNAcentral.
CCCUUAGAGUUUGAUCCUGGCUCAGAUUGAACGCUGGCGGAAUGCUUUACACAUGCAAGUCGAACGGCAGCACGGGGGCAACCCUGGUGGCGAGUGGCGAACGGGUGAGUAAUACAUCGGAACGUGCCCAGUCGUGGGGGAUAACUACGCGAAAGCGUAGCUAAUACCGCAUACGAACUCUGGUUGAAAGCGGGGGUUCGCAAGACCUCGCGCGAUUGGAGCGGCCGAUGGCAGAUUAGGUAGUUGGUGGGGUAAAGGCUCACCAAGCCGACGAUCUGUAGCUGGUCUGAGAGGACGACCAGCCACACUGGGACUGAGACACGGCCCAGACUCCUACGGGAGGCAGCAGUGGGGAAUUUUGGACAAUGGGCGCAAGCCUGAUCCAGCCAUUCCGCGUGCAGGAUGAAGGCCCUCGGGUUGUAAACUGCUUUUGUACGGAACGAAAAAGCCUUCUCUAAUACAGAGGGUCCAUGACGGUACCGUAAGAAUAAGCACCGGCUAACUACGUGCCAGCAGCCGCGGUAAUACGUAGGGUGCAAGCGUUAAUCGGAAUUACUGGGCGUAAAGCCUG